GUGGAUAUAGCUCAGUUGGUAGAGCGCUGGCUUGUGGAGCCGGAUGUCGCGGGUUCGAGCCCCGUUAUUCACCCCA
RNAcentral lists this transfer RNA (76 nucleotides) under Clavibacter michiganensis. RNAcentral describes it as "tRNA-His". It matches the Rfam family "tRNA". From Rfam's summary of the family: Transfer RNA (tRNA) molecules are approximately 80 nucleotides in length. Their secondary structure includes four short double-helical elements and three loops (D, anti-codon, and T loops). RNAcentral also lists the same sequence under 8 other names. Lineage: Bacteria; Bacillati; Actinomycetota; Actinomycetes; Micrococcales; Microbacteriaceae. The record is from RNAcentral.